RNAcentral lists this ribosomal RNA (460 nucleotides) under uncultured bacterium. Its description in RNAcentral is "partial 16S ribosomal RNA". It matches the Rfam family "Bacterial small subunit ribosomal RNA", at positions 338 to 795 of the family's 1533-position model. The record is from RNAcentral.
CCUACGGGAGGCAGCAGUGAGGAAUAUUGGUCAAUGGACGAGAGUCUGAACCAGCCAAGUAGCGUGAAGGAUGACUGCCCUAUGGGUUGUAAACUUCUUUUAUAUGGGAAUAAAAUGUUCCACGUGUGGGAUUUUGUAUGUACCAUAUGAAUACGGAUCGGCUAACUCCGUGCCAGCAGCCGCGGUAAUACGGAGGAUCCGAGCGUUAUCCGGAUUUAUUGGGUUUAAAGGGAGCGUAGGUGGAUUGUUAAGUCAGUUGUGAAAGUUUGCGGCUCAACCGUAAAAUUGCAGUUGAAACUGGCAGUCUUGAGUACAGUAGAGGUGGGCGGAAUUCGUGGUGUAGCGGUGAAAUGCUUAGAUAUCACGAAGAACUCCGAUUGCGAAGGCAGUUCACUGGACUGCAACUGACACUGAGGCUCGAAAGUGUGGGUAUCAAACAGGAUUAGAUACCCGAGUAGUC